UGAACUUCGGUUUGGGUGGCGGACGGGUGAGUAACGCGUAAAGAACUUGCCUCACAGAUAGGGACAACAUUUGGAAACGAAUGCUAAUACCUGAUAUUAUGAUUUUAGGGCAUCCUAGGAUUAUGAAAGCUAUAUGCGCUGUGAGAGAGCUUUGCGUCCCAUUAGCUAGUUGGAGAGGUAACGGCUCACCAAGGCGAUGAUGGGUAGCCGGCCUGAGAGGGUGAUCGGCCACAAGGGGACUGAGACACGGCCCUUACUCCUACGGGAGGCAGCAGUGGGGAAUAUUGGACAAUGGACCAAGAGUCUGAUCCAGCAAUUCUGUGUGCACGAUGAAGUUUUUCGGAAUGUAAAGUGCUUUCAGUUGGGAAGAAAAAAAUGACGGUACCAACAGAAGAAGUGACGGCUAAAUACGUGCCAGCAGCCGCGGUAAUACGUAUGUCACAAGCGUUAUCCGGAUUUAUUGGGCGUAAAGCGCGUCUAGGUGGUUAUGUAAGUCUGAUGUGAAAAUGCAGGGCUCAACUCUGUAUUGCGUUGGAAACUGUGUAACUAGAGUACUGGAGAGGUAAGCGGAACUACAAGUGUAGAGGUGAAAUUCGUAGAUAUUUGUAGGAAUGCCGAUGGGGAAGCCAGCUUACUGGACAGAUACUGACGCUGAAGCGCGAAAGCGUGGGUAGCAAACAGGAUUAGAUACCCUGGUAGUCCACGCCGUAAACGAUGAUUACUAGGUGUUGGGGGUCGAACCUCAGCGCCCAAGCAAACGCAUUAAGCACUCCGCCUGGGGAGUACGACCGCAAGGUUGAAACUCAAAGGAAUUGACGGGGGCCCGCACAAGCGGUGGAGCAUGUGGUUUAAUUCGAAGCAACGCGAA
RNAcentral lists this ribosomal RNA (868 nucleotides) under uncultured Fusobacterium sp. RNAcentral's name for it is "bacterial SSU rRNA". It matches the Rfam family "Bacterial small subunit ribosomal RNA", at positions 80 to 965 of the family's 1533-position model. The record is from RNAcentral. Lineage: Bacteria; Fusobacteriati; Fusobacteriota; Fusobacteriia; Fusobacteriales; Fusobacteriaceae.